UAUAACACGUCGGUUUUUGUUCUUUAUUUGCAGUUUGACAAGAAAAAGGAACCAGUUGUGUACACUCAAGAACAUAUUGACGAAGUCAGGCUGGAAUUGGCAGAAUUCGGGAACAAGCAAUUACAGAACAAUAAGUGAUAUAAUUUAUUUUGAAAAUGUUUAAGUUUAUUUUAAUUUUUUGAUAAUGUAUAUAAACAUAUUUUUGGUAAUUAAUUGAACAUUCAAAAAAAUCAAAUGAAAUAUAUUUUUGUUUCUAGUUGUUUUUUUUUUGUUUUGUUUGUUUUUUUAGUAUAAGAUAUUUUUGUCGUUAAAUGAAAUAAAAUGAAAAUAACUCAUUAAAAUUUAAAUUAAUUCCCAAAAACCGACGUCUCAUUCUUAUUUACAUGUCUCAUAUCUAUACACAACCGCCGUCUUAUUAUAGUGGGAAAGAAAACAUCGACGACAUUUCUAAAAAACGUCAUAUAAGGUUGCUAUACACGACGGUUAAUAUAUAAGACUGAAAUCUACGAAAAAUUUUGUAUAGAUAUACUACAUCCGUGUGUACAACAAAGAGGAUGUGUUAAAGACAUACAACGUCCGUUACAGGUUAAAAUGUGAUGUUGUAUAUCUAAACGACGUCAUCAUCAACAUAAUAAUCGACUGUGUAAAUUCUGCUGAAAGGACCCGCCCCGAAUUUUCUCAAUACUCGAGGCGAACCUUUUGGAAUUCCUGACAUAACCU
This 720-nucleotide long non-coding RNA is filed under the name Prunus persica (peach). RNAcentral describes it as "long non-coding RNA (PPER_LNC005817)". The record is from RNAcentral. Lineage: Eukaryota; Viridiplantae; Streptophyta; Magnoliopsida; Rosales; Rosaceae.